Molecule: ribosomal RNA, 585 nt
Filed under: uncultured bacterium
Lineage: Bacteria
Description: partial 16S ribosomal RNA
Rfam family: Bacterial small subunit ribosomal RNA
Source: RNAcentral
UGGGGAAUUUUGGACAAUGGGCGAAAGCCUGAUCCAGCAAUGCCGCGUGUGUGAGGAAGGCCUUCGGGUUGUAAAGCACUUUUGUCCGGAAAGAAAUCCUUGGCUCUAAUACAGUCGGGGGAUGACGGUACCGGAAGAAUAAGCACCGGCUAACUACGUGCCAGCAGCCGCGGUAAUACGUAGGGUGCAAGCGUUAAUCGGAAUUACUGGGCGUAAAGCGUGCGCAGGCGGUUUGCUAAGACCGAUGUGAAAUCCCCGGGCUCAACCUGGGAACUGCAAUGGUGACUGGCAGGCUAGAGUAUGGCAGAGGGGGGUAGAAUUCCACGUGUAGCAGUGAAAUGCGUAGAGAUGUGGAGGAAUACCGAUGGCGAAGGCAGCCCCCUGGGCCAAUACUGACGCUCAUGCACGAAAGCGUGGGGAGCAAACAGGAUUAGAUACCCUGGUAGUCCACGCCCUAAACGAUGUCAACUAGUUGUUGGGGAUUCAUUUCCUUAGUAACGUACUAACGCGUGAAGUUGGCCGCCUGGGGAGUACGGUCGCAAGAUUAAAACUCAAAUUGAAUUGACGGGGUCAUAGCUGUUUCCU